UAUUUUAAACAUUCAUGUGCUAGUCUCUGUCUUAGAGAGCUUUAUCUAUUUACAUUUAAUAUAACUACUAGUAACGAAGAACUUACCUCUGCCAUACUGCUAUUUAUUUUCUGUAUGUUAUGUCUUUUUUUGUCCCUCAACUCCAUCAUUACUGCUUUCUUCUGUGUUAAAUAAGUAUUUUCUAGUGUAUCAUUUUAAUUCACUUAAUAUUUCUUUUCUUUUUUAAGAUAUGGGGCCCUGCUAUGUUUCCUAGGCUGGCCUUGAACUCCUGGGCUGAUGAUCUUCCUGCCUCAACCUCUUGAGUGGCUGGGAAUACAGCGGCCGCUGAGACGCAUAAUGAUGAUAUAGAUGUGGCUUAAAAUGAUCAUCGGUGGGGGCAGGACUGGCCUGUCAUGAAAUGUCAUAAUCAGCUGAUAUCGCUGGAACUUCCACACCUGGUUGGAUAUUGAUUUUACUUCAAAGAAGAUCAUCCAGUAGGGCAUGUAGAAGAUGUUUCGGGCCAGUUUCCAAGAAGGCUUCUCCUCUGGAUGCAGAAUGGCUUGACGGGCUACUCCAAAACUCAUGAGCACGACCAGCAUGAUGACCACAAAGUACAGCAUGUCGAUCAUCUGAGGUGAUACAUCUAAAAGAAUCUUUGUUUCCAACUGGACUGACUCAUUGAGAGGAAACCUUCCCUGCACCUCACCAGUGAAGACAGAAGACCUGGAGGCCUGCCUUCCAGCGGCAGCAGGCAGCUGUCACCCACCCACCCAAGACCACAUCCACCAAAGGCAUUGGCAGCAAUCGCCACCCUUCGGGCCAUGGAACUGAGCAUUUAGGAACCAUGGAGCGUCUCCAGUGCAACUCUUUGCUUUUACCUCUAAGGGAACAAGGUGCAAACCCCAAGGCGGAUGGGUGGCCGGCUUGGCUAAGAACUGGCUUGCCUCUCAGAGCAAAGGGUGCAUACCUGCCUUUGACCCAGCACUUCCACUUCUACAGAUCUAUCAUCUGGAAAUACUUUUGCAUGUAAAUAGGCAAUGUAUGGAUGUUUGUUGCAGUGUAUUUUAAGUGAAAAAUUGGAAACCUCCACUUUUGUGUGAGUCUACCUUGGGGACUGAUUAAAACAAUUAACGAUAUACCAAAUCAUGGACUAUGCAACCAGGAAGAAGACUAACAUAGAACUCUUAAAGUAUAAACAUCUCCAUUAUGAAUUGAAAAAAAAUUGUAUAGUAAAAUCUUUCCGGCGUGAUCUAGCUCCACAAGAACAAACUUCCCGAUAUUCGAGAGCGGAGCUGUCCUGCAUGGUAGACCCUGGCUACCUGGGACUGUUGUGCACCUGAGAUGUGGCCAGGGUGAAUGGAGACAUGCUGAGUGUGAGAUGGCACACUAGUGUUCACUGUGACAUGAGAGCUGAAAAUGAGGUGUGUAGCAGGAUUUCAGAGACUUAGAACAACAA
Molecule: long non-coding RNA, 1435 nt
Organism: Piliocolobus tephrosceles (Ugandan red Colobus)
Lineage: Eukaryota; Metazoa; Chordata; Mammalia; Primates; Cercopithecidae
Exons: 5
Source: RefSeq, a predicted model, not a curated record